Molecule: ribosomal RNA, 617 nt
Filed under: uncultured bacterium
Lineage: Bacteria
Description: bacterial SSU rRNA
Rfam family: Bacterial small subunit ribosomal RNA
Source: RNAcentral
CCUACGGGAGGCAGCAGUGGGGAAUUUUGGACAAUGGGCGCAAGCCUGAUCCAGCAAUGCCGCGUGAGUGAAGAAGGCCUUCGGGUUGUAAAGCUCUUUUGUCAGGGAAGAAACGGCCUGUUCUAAUACAGCGGGCUAAUGACGGUACCUGAAGAAUAAGCACCGGCUAACUACGUGCCAGCAGCCGCGGUAAUACGUAGGGUGCAAGCGUUAAUCGGAAUUACUGGGCGUAAAGCGUGCGCAGGCGGUUUUGUAAGUCUGUCGUGAAAUCCCCGGGCUCAACCUGGGAAUGGCGAUGGAGACUGCAAGGCUAGAGUUUGGCAGAGGGGGGUAGAAUUCCACGUGUAGCAGUGAAAUGCGUAGAUAUGUGGAGGAACACCGAUGGCGAAGGCAGCCCCCUGGGUCAAAACUGACGCUCAUGCACGAAAGCGUGGGGAGCAAACAGGAUUAGAUACCCUGGUAGUCCACGCCCUAAACGAUGUCUACUAGUUGUCGGGUCUUAAUUGACUUGGUAACGCAGCUAACGCGUGAAGUAGACCGCCUGGGGAGUACGGUCGCAAAGNUUAAAACUCAAAGGAAUUGACGGCUGAGAGNGCGAGACGACACGAGGGAGGAGG